This 490-nucleotide ribosomal RNA is filed under the name uncultured bacterium. RNAcentral describes it as "partial 16S ribosomal RNA". It matches the Rfam family "Bacterial small subunit ribosomal RNA", at positions 30 to 507 of the family's 1533-position model. The record is from RNAcentral.
AUUGAACGCUGGCGGCAGGCCUAACACAUGCAAGUCGAACGGUAACAGGAAGCAGCUUGCUGCUUCGCUGACGGCUGGCGGGCGGGUGAGUAGUGACUGGGAUACUGCCUGAUGGGGGGGGAUAACUACUGAAAACGGUAGCCAAUACCGCAUAACGUCGCAAGACCAAUGAGGGGGACAUUAGGGCCUCUUGCCAUGGGAUGUGCCCAGGUGGGCGUAGCUAGUAGGUGGGGUAACGGCUCAACUAGGCGACGAUCCCUAGCUGGUCUGAGGGGAUGACCAUCCACACGGGAACUUAGACGCGGUCCUGACGCCUACGGGAGGCACCAGUGUGGUAUAUUGCACAACGGGCGCAAUCCUUAUGCAGCCGUGCCGCGUGUAGGAAGAAGGCCUUGCGGCCGUAAUGUACGUUCAGCGGGGAGGAAGCGAGUAAAGUUAAUACCUAGCGUCAGUGACGUUACUGGCAGAAGAAGCACCGGCUAACUCCGUG